This is a long non-coding RNA of Apodemus sylvaticus (European woodmouse), 1550 nucleotides long. RefSeq lists it as uncharacterized. The transcript is spliced from 4 exons. NCBI's taxonomy places the organism in Eukaryota, Metazoa, Chordata, Mammalia, Rodentia, Muridae. The record is from RefSeq and is a predicted model, not a curated record.
GCAGGUAGGGCGGAGGCGUGCCGCGAGGCCACGGAUGCACACAUUUAGAAGCCAGUGUGCACGGUGUCUCUCCCCACUUCCCUUUUCUGAAAACUCACCAGUGAUCUCAGAGGAAAGCCAGGUGGCAGGAAGGGCUGCGGCCCCCAGCCCAGCCUCCAGGUCACCCCUGGCUGUCCCUGGCUGCCUUCCUGUCUGCACUUCCUCUUCCUGCCCCUGUCCCCUCUCUUGACUUUCACUGUGGCCUUUGCAUCCUGGUAGAGCCACUCCGUAGCCCCACUACCAGGGAACAGAAGGCCGAGCCCAGGCCAACCAGCAUCAGUCAGAUUGAACAUUUCCAAGUUGGCUGCCUUUCCCGUUAUGACACUGCUGACACGGCUGGGGAUUCAAGCCUGAGAAACUGUCACUGCUAGCCACCCAGAGUGCCUGUCAUCCAGGCGUCUACCCAGGAAUGGAAACCAUGACCCUUGACCCUUGCCAACUGCAGGAGAGAAGAGGGAAACAAGGCAGCGUCAGAGGACUGAGAAGGAAAGCACGCAUGGCUGUGACCACCAGCAGGACAGUAGCAGGUCUUGAAGUACAGGAUGAAGAAGGGAUAGCUCAGUCUGACACACAGCAGUUUCUAGUUGCAGGCUUCUGAGUUCAUGUCCUCCCCUUCCGAAAAUCAGAGAAUUCACCAUCCGAAUCUUGGAAGCUGGAAAGCAGAUGGUGAGUGAGACUAUGCGUGUAAGAAAACUAGACUUGGGCCAGUGAGCUGGCUCAGGCGGUAAAGGGCGCUUGCAUGCAAGCCUGGCGACCAGAGUUCGAUCCCUAGAACCCAGACAAUGGAAGGAGUUGUCCUGACCUUCCUAUGUGUGGUGGGACAUGUAUGUAUGCACGAGUGCCACACACACUAGUGUAUUGCACACUCAUUCACACACUGAUACACGUCUGAAAGCUAGACUUGAGGCUGGCAGGGAGGCCGAGAGCCCAGUUUGUCCAAAGACUCCUCAAAAGGCUCAGAAAAGGAUACCAGGAAUCAGAGAGGGAAGACUGAAAUAAAGAUGAGUUGAAGGUGUCUGGAGAAGCAGGUCCAGAGCUCUCGCCAGCCCAGGUCCAGGGACAACUGUCUGCUUCCCACCAGGUAUCAAGCACAUCUGAGAGAUCAAGUGGGUGUGUGUUCUGAGUGGGGCCCUCCAGCCGGCCAUCUUCCCAGUGAGCUUCCAGAUGGCAGGCAGCUAACACAUGCCCUCUGAGGAAGAUUCUCUGGAGAUCCUGAGGAGCGCAUCACCAAGGUAGCAGCCUCUGGAGGCGCCUAGCAGCCACUCAGACCCACCAUGCCAACGUGUUGCUGUUGUUUCCUGCAGGAUUACAGAUGGAACCCAGGGUUUUACCUGGGCUAGGCAAGCCCUCUGUCAGCCCUCAGUGUCCUUAAAUAAAGGUCACAAGGAGAAAAAUCUCUAACACAAAUGCUAGAGAUCAAACAUAAAACCCAAAAUGUUAUCAGUGUCCUCUGAGAAGUAAGAGUUUACAUAAAGCAUAAACAGCAAGAUUUUCUUUUUUUUUUUCUUUCU